Molecule: ribosomal RNA, 288 nt
Filed under: Clostridioides difficile
Lineage: Bacteria; Bacillati; Bacillota; Clostridia; Peptostreptococcales; Peptostreptococcaceae
Description: partial 16S ribosomal RNA
Rfam family: Bacterial small subunit ribosomal RNA
Source: RNAcentral
AUCUCCUUAAUCGGAGAGUUCCCUUCGGGGACAUUGGUGACAGGUGGUGCAUGGUUGUCGUCAGCUCGUGUCGUGAGAUGUUGGGUUAAGUCCCGCAACGAGCGCAACCCUUGUCUUUAGUUGCCAUCAUUAAGUUGGGCACUCUAGAGAGACUGCCAGGGAUAACCUGGAGGAAGGUGGGGAUGACGUCAAAUCAUCAUGCCCCUUAUGCUUAGGGCUACACACGUGCUACAAUGGGUAGUACAGAGGGUUGCCAAGCCGUAAGGUGGAGCUAAUCCCUUAAAGCUA